Molecule: ribosomal RNA, 643 nt
Filed under: Mantophryne sp. LAO-2013b
Lineage: Eukaryota; Metazoa; Chordata; Amphibia; Anura; Microhylidae
Description: partial 12S ribosomal RNA
Rfam family: Bacterial small subunit ribosomal RNA (bases 1-452)
Source: RNAcentral
AGCCCAAGCUUAAAACCCAAAGGACUUGACGGUGUCCCACCCUCCUAGAGGAGCCUGUUCUAUAAUCGAUUCUCCACGAUCAACCCUACCACCUUUUGAAUACACAGCCUGUAUACCUCCGUCGCAAGCUUACCCUGUGAAUGCACUUAGUGAGCCAAAUGAUUUAACAUCCACACGUCAGGUCAAGGUGCAGCCCACAAGGCGGAAAGAAAUGGGCUACAAUCUCUACUUUAGAACAAACGAAAGACUAUAUGAAACACAGUCAUUGAAGGCGGAUUUAGUAGUAAAAAGAAAAUAGAGAGUUCUUUUUAACUAGGCACUGGGACGCGUACACACCGCCCGUCACCCUCUUCAAACCACAAUAUUAUGUAACUAACACCAAAUACCACUAUAGAAGAGGUAAGUCGUAACAUGGUAAGCGUACUGGAAAGUGCGCUUGGAGUAACAAAAUGUAGCUUAAUAAAAGUAUCCUGCUUACACCAAGAACAUGUCUGUGAAAUUCUGACCAUUUUGAGCUUAAACCCCAGCCCACCGCAUUAAACCUAUUAACAAAUUUUUCCUUCCAGAAUUAAUAAAACAUUUUCUCAACCUAGUAAAGGCGAUUAAAAAGUAUUUAGGAGCCUCAACACCAGUACCGCAAGGG